RNAcentral lists this unclassified non-coding RNA (229 nucleotides) under Hevea brasiliensis (rubber tree). The record is from RNAcentral. Lineage: Eukaryota; Viridiplantae; Streptophyta; Magnoliopsida; Malpighiales; Euphorbiaceae.
GAGAAAUUAAGAUCUCAAAGGUAGAAAAGUGAGAAUCAAGUCAUGGGUUUGGGCUAGUUAGAGGCGCGACACAUGAAUAAUAGUUGAAAAAGGCCGGAAAAACUGUGAACAGUGCCAAUGAACAGUACUAAAGCUUGCCCUAAUAAAUUGAAAGCUCUGAUACCAUGUUGAUUUGAAACAAUAGAAUGGAGAGAAAAAUCUGUACAUUCUUAUGUAUCAAUGACUUUGU